Long non-coding RNA from Gymnogyps californianus (California condor), 490 nucleotides. RefSeq lists it as uncharacterized. Lineage: Eukaryota; Metazoa; Chordata; Aves; Accipitriformes; Cathartidae. The record is from RefSeq and is a predicted model, not a curated record. The transcript has 4 exons.
GCCGGGGGGGCCGGAGCGAGCGCCCCCCGAAUUGCCCCCGUCGCCCCGCAGCGGGGGGAAGCGGCCCCGGAAGGGGGAUGGGGGGGACGCCCCUCCCAGCGACGGCGAUCGCCUCUUUGCCCAAAAAUGCCGGGAGCUGCGGGGCUUCAUCCGGCCGCUGGCAGAGCUGCUGGAGGGGCUGAAGCGAGGGCGAUACGACAGAGGGCUGAGCAGCUUCCAGCAGAGCGUGGCCAUGGACCGGAUCCAGCGGAUCAUCGGGGUCCUGCAGAAACCCGAAAUGGGCGCCCGCUACCUGGGGACGCUGCUGCAGGUGGAGGGGAUGCUGAGGGUCUGGUUCCCCCACGUCGCCCCCAAACCCCCGCAGGAUCCGGCCCCCGCCGCCGCCCUCCUCCUCCUCCGCCGCCGCCCCCCCGCCGGCCCCCCCGGGGCGCCCCGCUGCCGUCGCCUGCCCGGGGACACCCCCUCCUCUAUCCCGGCGGGGGGGGCGCGG